AGCAGCCGCGGUAAUACGAAGGGGGCUAGCGUUGUUCGGAAUCACUGGGUGUAUAGCGCACGUAGGCGGAUCUUUAUGUCAGGGGUGAAAUCCCGGGGCUCAACCCCGGAACUGCCUUUGAUUCUGGCGGUCUGGAGUUCGGGAGAGGUGAGUGGAAUUCCGAGUGUAGAGGUGAAAUUCGUAGAUAUUCGCAAGAACACCAGUGGCGAAGGCGGCUCACUGGCCCUAUUCUGACGCUGAGGUGCGAAAGCGUGGGGAGCAAACAGGAUUAGAUCCCCUGGUAGUCCACGCCGUAAACGAUGAAUGCUAGACCUCGGCCAGCAUGCCCCUCAGUGGCGCAGCU
RNAcentral lists this ribosomal RNA (343 nucleotides) under uncultured bacterium. RNAcentral describes it as "bacterial SSU rRNA". It matches the Rfam family "Bacterial small subunit ribosomal RNA", at positions 510 to 853 of the family's 1533-position model. The record is from RNAcentral.